Molecule: ribosomal RNA, 477 nt
Filed under: uncultured bacterium
Lineage: Bacteria
Description: partial 16S ribosomal RNA
Rfam family: Bacterial small subunit ribosomal RNA
Source: RNAcentral
AUUGAACGCUGGCGGCAUGCCUUACACAUGCAAGUCGAACGGUAACAGGUUAAGCUGCCGAGUGGCGAACGGGUGAGUAAUGUAUCGGAACGUGCCCAGUCGUGGGGGAUAACUGCUCGAAAGAGCAGCUAAUACCGCAUACGACCUGAGGGUGAAAGCGGGGGAUCGCAAGACCUCGCGCGAUUGGAGCGGCCGAUAUCAGAUUAGGUAGUUGGUGAGGUAAAGGCUCACCAAGCCGACGAUCUGUAGCUGGUCUGAGAGGACGACCAGCCACACUGGGACUGAGACACGGCCCAGACUCCUACGGGAGGCAGCAGUGGGGAAUUUUGGACAAUGGGCGCAAGCCUGAUCCAGCCAUGCCGCGUGCGGGAAGAAGGCCUUCGGGUUGUAGACCGCUUUUGUCAGGGAAGAAAAGGUUCUGGCUAAUACCUGGGACUCAUGACGGUACCUGAAGAAUAAGCACCGGCUAACUACGUG